CCGGUUUACUUCGCCUCUGCGCUGGGCGCAUAAAAAACAACGGGGCUUAACAAUCCGGCUGGUCAGCGAACGUUUCUCAGUGGGUGGUGGGUGGUUAGCAGUGAUUUAAGUUCGGGGGUGGCUUAACCUCCCUGAAGACCAUCGCCUCGAACCACUGCCCCCGCCCACAUCACCGCCCACUUCAUGCAAAUGGCCAAACAUUAAGGCGACACUUGAGUUGUGUCUACAAACAGCUAAGUUCAAUAUGCUGCAUGUCAAAAACAGGCCACCCCGUUCCUGGCCAAUGCAAAGGCAAAUGCAAAUGCAAACAAUGGCCAAGGCUGCGACGGAAGAACAAGUCACGUGCUGCCCGCUCCGAAGUCCAUGUGUCCGUAUUCCUGGGCCCUUGUUCCGUACUCCUAAUAAGCGGCAAAUAAUUGGCAGACGAACUUGAGACUGCGACUACCCCAAUGGCAGGAGGCACGGCGAUUGCCAGUGGCAACUGCAAUGCCACUAAAAAUCGAUACCAACCACCACACAGCCACCCUGCAGGUUGUCGAUCCUUGCUGGAAUGCUUAUUUGCUUGUUUGUUUGCCUGUCUCCUUUUUGUGGCCAGCCGGUUUCCAGUCGCAAUGCGAGUGCCAGAGAGAAAUCCGCUCUCAAUUGCAGUUGCAUUGGCCUAAAGUACAGGUGAGCAGACUAGAUAUGGGGACAUUUUUUUACCUCAAACGAACAGCAAUUAGAAUUUCCGGCCAUAAACCCUGUCAAGAACUGAAAAGCGUUAGCCCAGAACCACGUCAACUGACCAAAUUUGAGUGUCAAGCCCAGGCAACAGUAACUUGAACAGGGAGGGAUUUAAAAAGCAACAUUUUUAAAUCUAUUAUUUUAUUUGUUUAACUCAAACUGCGCGACUAAAGGUGCCACAUUGAAUAAUGUUUUUGGACAUACUAUAUUGUAAUUCAGUCACAGCUAAUAAUUUUUAAAUUUUCUCAAAACCAUUAUUGUUUCACCUGCAAUACAUAAGCUUAAAAUCAAUUCUGUAAAUAUAAAAUAUCAUGUUUAAUUCUA
Drosophila elegans is the source of this 1047-nucleotide long non-coding RNA. RefSeq lists it as uncharacterized. The transcript has 3 exons. NCBI's taxonomy places the organism in Eukaryota, Metazoa, Arthropoda, Insecta, Diptera, Drosophilidae. The record is from RefSeq and is a predicted model, not a curated record.